Acipenser ruthenus (sterlet) is the source of this 2614-nucleotide long non-coding RNA. RefSeq lists it as uncharacterized. The record is from RefSeq and is a predicted model, not a curated record. The transcript has 2 exons. Lineage: Eukaryota; Metazoa; Chordata; Actinopteri; Acipenseriformes; Acipenseridae.
UUAUGUCCCGCUAGAAGCACUUCUUUCAAUUAUAGUUUCAGUUCCAAUCAAAAAAGAGGUCAAUUUAAAUGACACGGAAUGCACCGUUCCUCAAUUUGAAAAUUGGAACUUCUCAUUUGUAUUAAACCCCCAGGGCAAACAUGACCACAACACAUUAUCGCUUGAUCUUCCCUUUUCUCACUGCGGUUAUUAAAGGCUAUAUUUUGGAAACCACGUGUGCGGUUGUGACACACAUAUUUUACAUAUUGUGGGACACCUGUAGUGUGUGACUGGACACACUAGAGAUGACUCGGUAUAGUACGUUUCAUUGACACACACAAAUACACGUUCUGUUGUGAAACGUGAAAUGUAUCGUAAUAGGUAACAGUUAAAUACAAUAACGCGUAUUAAAAAAAAAAAAAAAACAUGUCAUUCAUUAGAGUUUACAAUACAUAAAACACAUAUAUAAAACGCACAACACUGCCAAGCAGUGCUGUAUGCUGGAUUGAGGUACAGCAUACCAGAACAUUUGUAUUCUGUAUUUUUUUAACUAACGUACAUGCGAACUUCCCAAUGUUAUGCUUUUAUGUCUCCAGUGAUGUUAUAAAAUAGUGCAAAUCCGUGGUAUGACUGACUGGUGACGUGACUUAUUUAACAACAGUGUGAUAAUGACAAGAGUGAAUGACACACCAGGGCAGAGGGUGGCACUAUCAGGCGUGACAAACACGUUUCAAGGGUUUGUGUGCGUGCCUGCGUGCGUGUGCGUUUUUAUUAACUUGCUACAAUAAAUAAAUAAAUAAAUAAAUAAAUAAAUAAAUAAAUAAAUAAAUAUGGAAAGUUUUACUGAUUGGAUUCUGUCUAACUCUCCAUCACAUACUCAGACAGCCCACUUAAAAAAAAAGGUUGUUCCAUUACCCUGAAAGCAAAGGCAUAAUAUUAUUUUGGCUCAGAUCUCAUAAAAGUGGCAGAAUAGUACAGAUCGCAUUUGAUGAUGGAGGAAGUGAAAGACAGAACCCCACCUGCAGAAACCUACCUGCUCUGGUCAAUAAUAAAUCUCCUGUGUUGCUGUUUCCCUCUUGGAGUCGUCGCUGUCAUAUAUUCCAUUAGGGUGGAGAACGCUGUCUCAGUUGGAGAUAUGUCACGAGCGGUGGAAGCAUCUCAAACAGCCAAGAUCUUAAACAUUGUUGGAGUGGUUACCGGAGCGCUAGCAUUGAUGCUGAUCUUUGUUAUGUACGCCGUUGUGAUUACCCGCCUCAAUCAGUGAUUCAUACAAACCAGGAAUUGGAUCUCUACUUGUGCGUACCUGUCUUGGUGUUAACUUUCUGCAUGCAGUAAAUACCGCGCCGUUUCCUUGCGACGCUUCUUCCCUUUCGGCUUUGCUGAAGAGCACACACCUUUCCACACUUUUUUUUAUUGUCAACAUUAUCAGUGUUAAACAUCGCUUUGGGAGAGCUGCUUUCGAAGUGUUUCCAAGCUUGAGUGCUGUGCAAGUCCCGUCAUGAAGUGGACUGGGGGAAGGGAACUUUUGGAAUUUGUGGACGAUUGCGCUCAAUAGAGUAACACUGUGAGCAAAAGCCAGUGGUUUGAAAGCACCCUCUCAGUCGCUCAUGGGCCUCUUUCAAGCAGGAAUGCACCACAUUGUGUGUGCGUGUGUGCUUGUGCGUGUGUGGGGGGCUGUUUGGACGGAUUCCAUGUUGCCAUUUGAUAUUGAGCCUGAGUUCAGUCAUCUGCUAGUUUCCAUGUAGCAGAUUGAAAACAGCCCAGUUUAAAGUUAGAAUGGAGGGCUGGCAGAACUUACAGCAUGAUUUUCAAAAGGGGCAAAAUAAGAACUAGGUUGCACAGUGAUUUCUAAAAGCUGAUUUGGGUCACUAAGUAUGUGGCUUUCAAAGGGUUUCGAUGAAACAAGUCUUGUAUUCACCUGUUGACGCUUUAAAAAUACAACUCAAGCGACGUGGUUACAUUAAAUCACGCUUUUAAAAACAUUUCGCGACCUAGUUCUUAAUUUGCCCCUUUUAAAAAUCAUGUUGUUAGUCCCUCCAUUUUGCACUAAUGUUUGAAGUCACCUGAUCUAAUGCAGAGGAUGCAAGAGAUUGUUCUAACUGGGGCCUCCAGAGUUUAAAAGGCUACUGAAUUAGCUACACCCCCUCCACCAACACAGAGAAAACUAUAAAUCAGCUACAGCUAUAGAGACAAUCUUCUUACAAUAAGCUUAUCUCAUAUUGGUAUUGUUUUUUAUAUUUAGUUUGGUAAUUUCUCAAAUCAGCUGCUCAAGAAAACAGGUUACAUUUUAAUAUCCACUGCAUAUAGUGUUAUUUUAAAACAAAAAUUGCUAAGUAGCACAGUUGAGUUUUGCGAUAGGAAAAUGGACUACCGUACACUACAGCAAGUUGUUCCAAUCUUUGUUGGAAGUUUGAAUGUUUAAUUUGACAUUUCCUGCUCGAACUCAACAUUUUGGUGGUACAUUUUGCCGCAUUCAAUUUGCUUAAUAACUUAUGGGCUCUAUAAGGAACUGUUAAUUGUGUUGUAUUUAUUUAUGUAAGUGUGUAAUUGUUUGAUGUUUGUAAUGUAUAACAGAUUUUAUUGGAUGAAUGUUUUGUAAUUUAUUAAACUGUGUCAUGCUUUUGUCAGACUAUAA